RNAcentral lists this ribosomal RNA (783 nucleotides) under uncultured bacterium. Its description in RNAcentral is "bacterial SSU rRNA". It matches the Rfam family "Bacterial small subunit ribosomal RNA", at positions 55 to 845 of the family's 1533-position model. The record is from RNAcentral.
AUGCAGUCGAGGGGUAUUGGUUUUCGGACCAAGAGACCGGCGCACGGGUGCGUAACGCGUAUGCAAUCUACCUUUUACAGAGGGAUAGCCCAGAGAAAUUUGGAUUAAUACCUCAUAGUAUUAUUGAAUGGCAUCAUUUAAUAAUUAAAGUCACAACGGUAAAAGAUGAGCAUGCGUCCCAUUAGCUUGUUGGUAAGGUAACGGCUUACCAAGGCAACGAUGGGUAGGGGUCCUGAGAGGGAGAUCCCCCACACUGGUACUGAGACACGGACCAGACUCCUACGGGAGGCAGCAGUGAGGAAUAUUGGUCAAUGGGCGCAAGCCUGAACCAGCCAUGCCGCGUGCAGGAUGACGGUCCUAUGGAUUGUAAACUGCUUUUGUACAGGAAGAAACAGUUCUACGUGUAGAACCUUGACGGUACUGUAAGAAUAAGGAUCGGCUAACUCCGUGCCAGCAGCCGCGGUAAUACGGAGGAUCCAAGCGUUAUCCGGAAUCAUUGGGUUUAAAGGGUCCGUAGGCGGUUUUGUAAGUCAGUGGUGAAAGCCCAUCGCUCAACGGUGGAACGGCCAUUGAUACUGCAAGACUUGAAUUAUUAGGAAGUAACUAGAAUAUGUAGUGUAGCGGUGAAAUGCUUAGAUAUUACAUGGAAUACCAAUUGCGAAGGCAGGUUACUACUAAUUGAUUGACGCUGAUGGACGAAAGCGUGNGGAGCGAACAGGAUUAGAUACCCUGGUAGUCCACGCCGUAAACGAUGGAUACUAGCUGUUCGGAGCAAUCUGAGUG